RNAcentral lists this ribosomal RNA (294 nucleotides) under uncultured Synergistaceae bacterium. RNAcentral describes it as "partial 16S ribosomal RNA". It matches the Rfam family "Bacterial small subunit ribosomal RNA", at positions 1090 to 1382 of the family's 1533-position model. The record is from RNAcentral. Lineage: Bacteria; Thermotogati; Synergistota; Synergistia; Synergistales; Synergistaceae.
CAACGAGCGCAACCCCUGCUGCCAGUUGCCAACGGGUGAAGCCGGGCACUCUGGCGGGACUGCCAUCGACAAGAUGGAGGAAGGUGGGGAUGACGUCAAGUCAUCAUGGCCCUUAUGUCCAGGGCGACACACGUGCUACAGUGGCCGGCACAGCGGGAAGCGAGGCAGUGAUGCCGAGCGGAUCCCUUAAAGCCGGUCUCAGUUCGGAUUGAAGUCUGCAACUCGACUUCAUGAAGCUGGAAUCGCUAGUAAUCGCAGAUCAGCCAAGCUGCGGUGAAUACGUUCCCGGGCCUU